GUCGACGUUACGUAUAGCAUAUGCGCAAAAGUGGCGAACGGGUGAGUAACACGUAGGUAACCUGCCGCGCAGAGGGGGAUAACGACUGGAAACGGUCGCUAAUACCGCAUGGUACCAAGAAUAGGGGACUCUUCCUGGUUAAAACCUUGGUGCUGCGCGAGGGGCCUGCGUCCGAUUAGUUAGUUGGUGAGGUAAUGGCUCACCAAGACGAUGAUCGGUAGCUGGUCUGAGAGGAUGAUCAGUCACACGGGAACUGAGACACGGUCCCGACUCCUACGGGGGGCAGCAGUGAGGAAUAUUGCACAAUGGACGCAAGUCUGAUGCAGCAACGCCGCGUGGAGGAUGAAGGUCUUUGGAUCGUAAACUCCUUUUCUCAGGGAAGAGAAUGGACGGUACCUGAGGAAUAAGUCACGGCUAACUACGUGCCAGCAGCCGCGGUAAUACGUAGGUGGCAAGCGUUAUCCGGAAUUACUGGGCGUAAAGCGCACGCAGGUGGUCUUUUAAGUUUGACGUGAAAGCUCCCGGCUUUACUGGGAGAGAUCGUUGAAUACUG
This 553-nucleotide ribosomal RNA is filed under the name uncultured bacterium. RNAcentral describes it as "bacterial SSU rRNA". It matches the Rfam family "Bacterial small subunit ribosomal RNA", at positions 61 to 635 of the family's 1533-position model. The record is from RNAcentral.